RNAcentral lists this ribosomal RNA (497 nucleotides) under uncultured bacterium. RNAcentral describes it as "partial 16S ribosomal RNA". It matches the Rfam family "Bacterial small subunit ribosomal RNA", at positions 28 to 507 of the family's 1533-position model. The record is from RNAcentral.
GAUGAACGCUGGCGGCGUGCCUAAUACAUGCAAGUCGAGCGAACAGAUAAGGAGCUUGCUCCUUUGACGUUAGCGGCGGACGGGUGAGUAACACGUGGGUAACCUACCUAUAAGACUGGGAUAACUUCGGGAAACCGGAGCUAAUACCGGAUAAUAUUUCGAACCGCAUGGUUCGAUAGUGGAAGAUGGUUUUGCUAUCACUUAUAGAUGGACCCGCGCCGUAUUAGCUAGUUGGUAAGGUAACGGCUUACCAAGGCGACGAUACGUAGCCGACCUGAGAGGGUGAUCGGCCACACUGGAACUGAGACACGGUCCAGACUCCUACGGGAGGCAGCAGUAGGGAAUCUUCCGCAAUGGGCGAAAGCCUGACGGAGCAACGCCGCGUGAGUGAUGAAGGUCUUCGGAUCGUAAAACUCUGUUAUUAGGGAAGAACAUACGUGUAAGUAACUGUGCACGUCUUGACGGUACCUAAACAGAAAGCCACGGCUAACUACGUG